RNAcentral lists this ribosomal RNA (253 nucleotides) under uncultured bacterium. RNAcentral's name for it is "partial 16S ribosomal RNA". It matches the Rfam family "Bacterial small subunit ribosomal RNA", at positions 524 to 776 of the family's 1533-position model. The record is from RNAcentral.
UACGAAGGGGGCUAACGUUGCUCGGAUUGACUGGGCGUAAAGGGCGCGUAGGCGGUUCGUACAGUCAGACGUGAAAUUCCUGGGCUCAACCUGGGGGCUGCGUUUGAUACGUGCGGACUUGAGUGCGGAAGAGGGUCGUGGAAUUCCCAGUGUAGAGGUGAAAUUCGUAGAUAUUGGGAAGAACACCGGUGGCGAAGGCGGCGACCUGGUCCGAUUCUGACGCUGAGGCGCGAAAGCGUGGGGAGCAAACAGG